This 277-nucleotide ribosomal RNA is filed under the name uncultured bacterium. RNAcentral's name for it is "partial 16S ribosomal RNA". It matches the Rfam family "Bacterial small subunit ribosomal RNA", at positions 32 to 317 of the family's 1533-position model. The record is from RNAcentral.
AAUCAACGCUGGCGGCGUGCCUAACACAUGCAAGUCGCACGAGAAAGCGGACUUCGGUCUGUGAGUAAAGUGGCGCACGGGUGAGUAACACGUGAAUGAUCUACCUCCGAGUGGGGAAUAACUUCGGGAAACCGAGGCUAAUACCGCAUAACACUUACGAGUCAAAGCAGCAAUGCGCUUGGAGAGGAGUUCGCGGCAGAUUAGUUAGUUGGCGGGGUAAUGGCCCACCAAGACGAUGAUCUGUAUCCGGCCUGAGAGGGCGCACGGACACACUGGA